CAUUACCGAGUUUACAACUCCCAAACCCAAUGUGAACGUUACCAAACUGUUGCCUCGGCGGGAUCUCUGCCCCGGGUGCGUCGCAGCCCCGGACCAAGGCGCCCGCCGGAGGACCAACCAAAACUCUUAUUGUAUACCCCCUCGCGGGUUUUUUACUAUCUGAGCCAUCUCGGCGCCCCUCGUGGGCGUUUCGAAAAUGAAUCAAAACUUUCAACAACGGAUCUCUUGGUUCUGGCAUCGAUGAAGAACGCAGCGAAAUGCGAUAAGUAAUGUGAAUUGCAGAAUUCAGUGAAUCAUCGAAUCUUUGAACGCACAUUGCGCCCGCCAGUAUUCUGGCGGGCAUGCCUGUCCGAGCGUCAUUUCAACCCUCGAACCCCUCCGGGGGGUCGGCGUUGGGGAUCGGCCCUUUACGGGGCCGGCCCCGAAAUACAGUGGCGGUCUCGCCGCAGCCUCUCCUGCGCAGUAGUUUGCACACUCGCAUCGGGAGCGCGGCGCGUCCACAGCCGUUAAACACCCCAAACUUCUGAAAUGUUGACCUCGGAUCAGGUA
This 549-nucleotide small RNA is filed under the name Trichoderma virens. RNAcentral describes it as "eukaryotic LSU rRNA". The stretch from base 206 to 359 matches the Rfam family "5.8S ribosomal RNA". The record is from RNAcentral. Lineage: Eukaryota; Fungi; Ascomycota; Sordariomycetes; Hypocreales; Hypocreaceae.